RNAcentral lists this ribosomal RNA (821 nucleotides) under Streptomyces sp. 0112ALTPS104. RNAcentral describes it as "bacterial SSU rRNA". It matches the Rfam family "Bacterial small subunit ribosomal RNA", at positions 61 to 897 of the family's 1533-position model. Lineage: Bacteria; Bacillati; Actinomycetota; Actinomycetes; Kitasatosporales; Streptomycetaceae. The record is from RNAcentral.
GUCGAACGAUGAAGCCCUUCGGGGUGGAUUAGUGGCGAACGGGUGAGUAACACGUGGGCAAUCUGCCCUUCACUCUGGGACAAGCCCUGGAAACGGGGUCUAAUACCGGAUAACACUCCUGCCUGCAUGGGCGGGGGUUAAAAGCUCCGGCGGUGAAGGAUGAGCCCGCGGCCUAUCAGCUUGUUGGUGGGGUAAUGGCCCACCAAGGCGACGACGGGUAGCCGGCCUGAGAGGGCGACCGGCCACACUGGGACUGAGACACGGCCCAGACUCCUACGGGAGGCAGCAGUGGGGAAUAUUGCACAAUGGGCGAAAGCCUGAUGCAGCGACGCCGCGUGAGGGAUGACGGCCUUCGGGUUGUAAACCUCUUUCAGCAGGGAAGAAGCGAAAGUGACGGUACCUGCAGAAGAAGCGCCGGCUAACUACGUGCCAGCAGCCGCGGUAAUACGUAGGGCGCAAGCGUUGUCCGGAAUUAUUGGGCGUAAAGAGCUCGUAGGCGGCUUGUCACGUCGGAUGUGAAAGCCCGAGGCUUAACCUCGGGUCUGCAUUCGAUACGGGCUAGCUAGAGUGUGGUAGGGGAGAUCGGAAUUCCUGGUGUAGCGGUGAAAUGCGCAGAUAUCAGGAGGAACACCGGUGGCGAAGGCGGAUCUCUGGGCCAUUACUGACGCUGAGGAGCGAAAGCGUGGGGAGCGAACAGGAUUAGAUACCCUGGUAGUCCACGCCGUAAACGUUGGGAACUAGGUGUUGGCGACAUUCCACGUCGUCGGUGCCGCAGCUAACGCAUUAAGUUCCCCGCCUGGGGAGUACGGCCGCAAGGCUAA